GGUGUGACAGCUAUGUUACCUGUUGAUCUGCAUUCUGUGCACGUUGCUAUUAAAAGAGUCUUGAGAACUACAGAAGUGUGACAUGGGAACCCUACCUCAUCACUGCUGGAGGAUGAAGAUGAGGAUGAUGAAGAUGAAGAUGAGUUGCCUGAUCCUUCACCUUCCUUGUGCUCCUUAUGCUCUUUAUGCUCCUUAUGUCCCUUUGUUUUAUUCUUGUCCUUCUUGCCGUCUUUGUCCUUUGACUCGUGCUUUUUGUCAGACUCGUGCCUUUUUGUCAGACUUGUCCUUUUUGUCAGACUUGUCCUUUUUGUCAGACUUGUCCUUUUUGUCAGACUUGUGCUUUUUGUCAGGCUUGUGCUUUUUGUCAGGCUUGUGCUUUUUGUCAGACUUCUCAGUGCAGUCUCCCUAAAAAUGGCAAAAGUUGACUUUGAAUAAAUCUUUGUGUUGUUAAGGAUUGUGCUAUAUUCCAGUAA
RNAcentral lists this long non-coding RNA (473 nucleotides) under Cottoperca gobio. RNAcentral describes it as "lncRNA (ENSCGOG00000008007.1)". Lineage: Eukaryota; Metazoa; Chordata; Actinopteri; Perciformes; Bovichtidae. The record is from RNAcentral.